RNAcentral lists this transfer RNA (62 nucleotides) under human gut metagenome. It matches the Rfam family "tRNA", at positions 8 to 62 of the family's 71-position model. Rfam says of the family: Transfer RNA (tRNA) molecules are approximately 80 nucleotides in length. Their secondary structure includes four short double-helical elements and three loops (D, anti-codon, and T loops). The record is from RNAcentral.
AUUGUUAGCUCAGUUGGUAGAGCAACUGACUCUUAAUCAGUGGGUCUAGGGUUCGAGUCCCU